This 480-nucleotide ribosomal RNA is filed under the name uncultured bacterium. RNAcentral describes it as "partial 16S ribosomal RNA". It matches the Rfam family "Bacterial small subunit ribosomal RNA", at positions 28 to 507 of the family's 1533-position model. The record is from RNAcentral.
GACGAACGCUGGCGGCGCGCUUAACACAUGCAAGUCGAGCGAUGAAACUUUAACAGAACCCUUCGGGGCGAAGAUAAAGUGGAUUAGCGGCGGACGGGUGAGUAACACGUGAGUAACCUGCCUUAGACAUUGGGAUAGCCUCGGGAAACCGGGAUUAAUACCAAAUAAAAUCAUAAUGACACAUGUCAUAACGAUCAAAACUCCGGUGGUCUAAGAUGGACUCGCGUCCCAUUAGCUAGUUGGUAGAGUAAAAGCCUACCAAGGCGACGAAGGGUAGCCGGCCUGAGAGGGUGAACGGCCACAUUGGAACUGAGAAACGGUCCAAACUCCUACGGGAGGCAGCAGUGGGGAAUAUUGCACAAUGGAGGGAACUCUGAUGCAGCGACGCCGCGUGAACGAAGAAGGCUUUCGAGUCGUAAAGUUCUUUUAUAUGGGAAGAUAAUGACGGUACCAUAAGAAAAAGCCCCGGCUAACUACGUG